RNAcentral lists this ribosomal RNA (250 nucleotides) under uncultured prokaryote. RNAcentral describes it as "partial 16S ribosomal RNA". It matches the Rfam family "Bacterial small subunit ribosomal RNA", at positions 524 to 773 of the family's 1533-position model. The record is from RNAcentral.
UACGUAGGGGGCAAGCGUUAUCCGGAUUUACUGGGUGUAAAGGGAGCGCAGACGGCAGUGCAAGUCUGAAGUGAAAGCUCGCAGCUCAACUGCGGAACUGCUUUGGAAACUGUGCAGCUGGAGUAUCGGAGGGGUAAGCGGAAUUCCUAGUGUAGCGGUGAAAUGCGUAGAUAUUAGGAGGAACACCGGUGGCGAAGGCGGCUUACUGGACGAUAACUGACGUUGAGGCUCGAAAGCGUGGGGAGCAAAC